RNAcentral lists this ribosomal RNA (760 nucleotides) under Kluyvera sp. RNAcentral's name for it is "bacterial SSU rRNA". It matches the Rfam family "Bacterial small subunit ribosomal RNA", at positions 589 to 1357 of the family's 1533-position model. The record is from RNAcentral. Lineage: Bacteria; Pseudomonadati; Pseudomonadota; Gammaproteobacteria; Enterobacterales; Enterobacteriaceae.
AAGAUGUGAAUUCCCCGGGUUCAAUCUGGGAACUGCAUUUGAAUUCGCCAAGCUGAGUUUCGUAGAGGGGGGUAGAAAUCCAGGGUAGCGGUGAAAUGCGUAGAGAUUGGAGGAAUACCGGUGGCGAAGGCGGCCCCCUGGACGAAGACUGACGCUCAGGUGCGAAAGCGUGGGGAGCAAACAGGAUUAGAUACCUGGUAGUCCACGCCGUAAACGAUGUCUAUUUGGAGGUUGUCCCUUGAGGAGUGGCUUCCGGAGCAACGCGUUAAAUAGACCCCCUGGGGAGUACGGCCGCAAGGUUAAAACUCAAAUGAAUUGACGGGGGCCCGCACAAUCGGUGGAGCAUGUGGUUUAAUUCGAUGCAACGCGAAGAACCUUACCUACUCUUGACAUCCAGAGAACUUAGCAGAGAUGCUUUGGUGCCUUCGGGAACUCUGAGACAGGUGCUGCAUGGCUGUCGUCAGCUCGUGUUGUGAAAUAUUGGGUUAAGUCCCGCAACGAGCGCAACCCUUAUCCUUUGUUGCCAGCGGUUCGGCCGGGAACUCAAAGGAGACUGCCAGUGAUAAACUGGAGGAAGGUGGGGUCUCCGCCAAGUCUUCAUGGCCCUUACGGGUAGUGCUCCACCCGUGCUACAAUGCCAUAUCAAAGAGAAGCCCCAGAAACAGAGCAAGCGUACCUCAUCAAGUAUGUCGUAUUCCGGAAAAGAGUGUGCCGUCGGGUUCCGCCCCUAGGAAAGGCUAGUAAACGUGGGUUUUAACCC